This 855-nucleotide ribosomal RNA is filed under the name Acinetobacter junii. Its description in RNAcentral is "bacterial SSU rRNA". It matches the Rfam family "Bacterial small subunit ribosomal RNA", at positions 207 to 1052 of the family's 1533-position model. The record is from RNAcentral. Lineage: Bacteria; Pseudomonadati; Pseudomonadota; Gammaproteobacteria; Moraxellales; Moraxellaceae.
UUCGGACCUUGCGCUAAAUGAUGAGCCUAAGUCGGAUUAGCUAGUUGGUGGGGUAAAGGCCUACCAGGGCGACGAUCUGUAGCGGGUCUGAGAGGAUGAUCCGCCACACUGGGACUGAGACACGGCCCAGACUCUACGGGAGGCAGCAGUGGGGAAUAUUGGACAAUGGGCGGAAGCCUGAUCCAGCCAUGCCGCGUGUGUGAAGAAGGCCUUUUGGUUGUAAAGCACUUUAAGCGAGGAGGAGGCUACUAGUACUAAUACUACUGGAUAGUGGACGUUACUCGCAGAAUAAGCACCGGCUAACUCUGUGCCAGCAGCCGCGGUAAUACAGAGGGUGCGAGCGUUAAUCGGAUUUACUGGGCGUAAAGCGUGCGUAGGCGGCUUUUUAAGUCGGAUGUGAAAUCCCCGAGCUUAACUUGGGAAUUGCAUUCGAUACUGGGAAGCUAGAGUAUGGGAGAGGAUGGUAGAAUUCCAGGUGUAGCGGUGAAAUGCGUAGAGAUCUGGAGGAAUACCGAUGGCGAAGGCAGCCAUCUGGCCUAAUACUGACGCUGAGGUACGAAAGCAUGGGGAGCAAACAGGAUUAGAUACCCUGGUAGUCCAUGCCGUAAACGAUGUCUACUAGCCGUUGGGGCCUUUGAGGCUUUAGUGGCGCAGCUAACGCGAUAAGUAGACCGCCUGGGGAGUACGGUCGCAAGACUAAAACUCAAAUGAAUUGACGGGGGCCCGCACAAGCGGUGGAGCAUGUGGUUUAAUUCGAUGCAACGCGAAGAACCUUACCUGGCCUUGACAUACUAGAAACUUUCCAGAGAUGGAUUGGUGCCUUCGGGAAUCUAGAUACAGGUGCUGCAUGGCUGU